Long non-coding RNA from Aedes albopictus (Asian tiger mosquito), 2051 nucleotides. RefSeq lists it as uncharacterized. Lineage: Eukaryota; Metazoa; Arthropoda; Insecta; Diptera; Culicidae. The transcript is spliced from 2 exons. The record is from RefSeq and is a predicted model, not a curated record.
GAUUUUUUUUAAUUGUUUAGGUACAAAACCAAUCUACGUUUCAUUUCAGAUUCCAAAUUGGCGUAAACAAUUAAACGAUACGAGGAAUGGCAGCCUAUUUAUAGCACCCAUAAACAAAUAGAAACGCUCCAUAGAAAAUCAAAAAGUGCUCCAUAAAGAAAGAACAUAUGUUCCAUGAAAAUGUGCAAUGUUACCCAUAAAUAAUUGAAAACGUUCCAUACUUUAUAAAAAAUGUACCGGUAAAACUUAAAAUUUUCUCAUUAAAAGUGAAAUUUUGCACCAAUAAAUAAUACUGAAAUGCCCCAUAAUAAAAUACAAAUGCUCCAUAGAAAAAUGCAAACGCUCCAUAAAAAAUUGAAAUUGUACCCAUAGAAAAUUGAAUAUUGCUCCAUAGAAAAAUUAAAUUGCACCAUAAAAAAAUUAAAUUGCACCAUAGGAAAUAGAUGAAUUCUCCAUAAGAAUUAUCAAACUGCACCAUAGAAAAUAUGAAUUGCUCCAUGAAAAAUUGAAAAUCCUCCAUAGAUAGCAUAUUCUUAUAAUUUAAUUCGGCAGGGCUGAAUUGCUUUACAUUGCACUGCUUUAGUGGUGCAAAUGUUCAAAGUUAUGGAGAAUUUUCAAUUUUUUAUGGAGCAAAUUGUAUUUUAUGUGGUGCAGUUUGCUAAUACUUAUGGAGCAUUCAUAUAUUUUCUAUGGUGCAAUUUCUAUUUUUUAUGGUGCAAUUUAAUUUUUCUAUGGAGCAAUAUUCAAUUUUCUAUGGGUACAAUUUCAAUUUUUUAUGGAGCGUUUGCAUUUUUCUAUGGAGCAUUUGUAUUUUAUUAUGGAGCAUUUCAGUAUUAUUUAUUGGUGCAAAAUUUCACUUUUAAUGAGAAAUUUUUUUGUUUUACCGGUACAUUUUUUAUAAAGUAUGGAACGUUUUCAAUAGACCAUUCCCGUGAAAUUUUUUUUAUGUAUUUAACGGCUUUCCGCCAAUUUAUAGAGCAAACUUUCCCAAGGAACCCCUAUGUUUUGAAGCCUCUAACUAUUGAAAAACAGUGAAAAACCUGCGAAGUAGCACUUUAGCUCUACUGUCUCCUAUUAAUUAUUUCACCCCAAUUUCCGUUGUACCCCAAUUUCCUCUAUGCGUCGACCACAGCGAUGUGGUGAGUUUCUAAUCAGCAAACUGUCAAACGUUUGUUUUGUUUUGAAGUCAGUAUCAGUUUUUCUCAUUUCCGCGCAUCGAAAAAAAAAUCGACGGGGGAAUUUCAACGUUUCACCAUCCUAGGUUUCACCGUGUACGGUUGGGAUUCCAUUGGCCCAGUUUCCCGGAUCUACGAGCAGCACAUCGGAAUCGGAUAUUCAGGUAGAUGGCGAGAUUGCCAGCCAGCAAUCAAAUCGUGCCGGCGGAAUCGAGACGUUGUCACCGCAUUCACGUUGGCCAUUUUUAAGCCCAUCUAGUGAAGAACCCGGGUGGCGGUUGGCGGAGGAGCAGCUGAUUGAACUGAUUCGCAGCCGAGAACUAGAUGGAGAUUGCCAUUUCGCCGCUGCAAUUCGUUGGCCUUCAGGCGCUUACCAAGGGACAUCCUUUGUAAGCACUCUUCCGCAAUACAGCGCAGUUCUUCGGCCAAAGCGAAAUCAUUGAUUCCGUGAAGUUUUUCGUUGUAUUCACAGGUCUACAUCACGUUGUGAUGACAACGCACGAGACGAUCCACAAGGAGCGCAACCCGGCCAUCAACCCUUGGCACAUAGUAUUGGAAAUGUUCGACAAGCAUACCGUCGGCAACCCGAGGCAGUUCAUCAACCUGGAGUACUUUAUGCAUCCCUUACAGCAUCCACGGAGUGCGUCCUAUUGCGGCACGGUGUAGCAAGCCGAUCGGUUGGUUCGAGUGGCCGACAUGGCGGUGCUAUAAUGCUGGCGAUGACCCGAAUUUUCCGAAGGUAAUGCCUAGGGAUGCGCCAUGCCGAGCAGGAUGUCUCUAGCGGUGUGCAAUGAAAAGAAAUACUUCGAGCAUCCGCUGACGAAAAAAUUAUGGGUUGUUAAGGAUGAAAAUAUGAGUGUGCAUUUUGUUAGCCAA